This is a long non-coding RNA of Passer domesticus (house sparrow), 4252 nucleotides long. RefSeq lists it as uncharacterized. Lineage: Eukaryota; Metazoa; Chordata; Aves; Passeriformes; Passeridae. The record is from RefSeq and is a predicted model, not a curated record. The transcript is spliced from 2 exons.
CAUAAGCAAAGACACUUUCAAUAUCUGUGCUGCUAAAGGGGAAUCCUUCCCCAUUCCCAUCAUUAUGAAUGUCACCAUAAAGGGUAAUGGACUAACCAGAAAAGGGAGAUUUGUUUUUCUACCUCCAGCAUGUAACAACUUAAUUGGUCAGGAAUUCCAGAUACCUUUGAAAGCUGGAGUUCCACAAGAAGGAAGGAUGAAGGUCAAAUUGGUUACUUUAUCCACACAAGAUGAACAACUGAUUAAUCCUACAGUGUAGGCCCAACCAGGUCGCUGGGAUAAAAUGAACAUUACACCCAUUGUAAUGAAUCUCCUUCCAGACAUUAAACCAGCAAAAGUACCCCAGCACCCCCUUACAAAGACCAAAAGGUAUGGGCUAAAACCCAUAAUAACUGAACUGUGACAUGAUAAUAUACUAGAGCCAUGUACUUCCACAUACAACACCCCAUUCUUGCUAUUAAAAAGCCUGACAAUAGUUACAGGCUAGUUCAAGACCUACGUGAAGUAAAUAAAAGAGUGCAAGCUGUGUGCCCGUUAGUACAAAACCCUUACACCUUGUUAAGUUAUCACCUACACACUCUUGGUUCUCAGUAACUGACCUGAAGGAUGCAUUUUGGUCAUGCCCUGUAGAUUCUCCUUCUAGACACCUGUUUGCCUUCACCUGGGAAGAUCCAGACACUGGAAGGAAACAGCAGCUGACCAGGACCUGGCUACCCCAAGGGUACACGGAGUUGCCCACACUCUUCGGUCAGGCCUUGGAGAGCCUGUUCAUUUCCUUUUCUCCACCCUCAGGAAUACAAGUAACACAGUAUGUAGAUGACAUAGUACUCUCCAGAGAGCAAGAACCCACUGUAAAAUUAGGCACCAUUCAAUUACUGAACCAUCUAGGAGAGAAUGGACUAAGAGUAUCUAAAUCCAAACUACAAUUUGUUAAACCAAAGUAAAAUAUUUCGCACAUGUAAUUGGUCAUGGUACCGAAAAUUGAGUACUGAAAGGAUAGAAGGAAUUUUAAAUUUACAACCUCCACAAAAAAAGAGCGAGGUUAGACAAUUAUUAGGCUUAAGGAGGUAUUGUAGAAUAUGGAUUGAUGAAUACACACAAAGUAUCACAAUUUUAUAUGAAAAAUUAACUACAUCAGAACCUAUUAAUUGGACCCAAGAGGAUAAUAAGAACUUAGAAAAUUUAAAGCAAAAGAUGAUUCAGACCCCAGUUCUCUUUCUUCCUUCACUAGAAGAAGAUUUUCACCUAUAUAUUAAACCUAUAUAGGAAUUACUUACGGGGUCUUGGCCCAAGAGUGGUCAGGAUUUCAUAAACCUGUAGCCUACUUGUCCAUAUUGUUGGUCCCUCUGUCCCAAGGAUGGCAAACAUGCAUCCAAUCAAUCGCUGCAGCAGCCAUCCUAGUAACAGCCAGCCAAAAACUUACAUUUGAGAGAAAUCUGAUAGAAUACAUACCACACUCCAUCCAAACCAUUCUUAAACAACGAGCAGCCGAAUGGCUAACAGACUCUCAUAUUAUACAAUAUGGGAGCACCCUCAUCCAUUCCACAAAUGUAACCCUGAAAACAAUUACCCACACCAAUCCCGCACAGUUCCUAUGUGGAAUUCCCCAAAAACAAGAUCUCAUGCACAACUGCAUAGUUUUUAUAAACCUGCAAACAAAAAUUCAAGAAGACCUCCUAGAGAGCCCAUUAGCUGAAGGAGAAAUCCUGUUCAUCGACGGAUCAUCAAGAGUAGUAAAUGGAAAGAGGUGCUCUGGAUACUCCAUCAGAGAUGGAAAACAACUGUACAUGUUAGAAAAGGAAAACUACCACCUUCCUGGUCUGCCCAGGUAUGUGAAUUAGAUGCUUUGGAAAAAGCAUUGCACAGACUAAACUAUUGGAACCAUUUAUACAGACUCUAAAUAUGCAUAUGGAGUAGUCCACACAUUCGGGAAAAGCUGGGCUGAAAGAGGGUUUCUCAGAUCUAAGGGCAAAGACAUUUUACACAAAGAACUUAUAUUAAAAAUUAGAGGCACUUAAGUUACCGAAAGAAAUUGCAAUGGUACGUUCUCCAGGUCAUCAAAAGGGAACUCUGGAGAAACUAGAGGAAGCAUCCUAGCAGACCAUGCUGCAAAGGAGGCUGCUUUUGAGGGGGAAGUAAAGGUAUACAGAUUUUAUCCAAGAGACACACACCCGAGAGUACACUGGACAACACUCUUCCCAUACCUAUUUUUAAAGACAGUGAAAAACAGAAACUCAUAUCACUAGGUGGAAAGGAAGAUUCUGAGGGACGGUGGCAUCCUCCUGAUGGCCACCAAAUGUUAAAUAAAGAGCUCACUCGAGAAAUUUUACAGAACUUCCACCAAGCCACGCACUGGGGAUCUAAAGCUUUAGCAGGUCACUUUCUUCAAAAUUUUGGAUGUCAGGGAAUUGAUGAAUUAGCUAACCAAAUUACCAUAGGUUGUAUAAUUUUCCAAAAAGUCAAUAGAAAAUUAAUGAGGAGAAUGAGACCUGGAAGAAUUGAAAUUGCAAUUAGACCCUUCCAAAGUAUGCAAUUUGAUUUCACAGAAAUGCCCCAUGUCCAAAGAUGGAAGUAUUUCUUAGUGAUUGUAGAUCACCUUACCAAUGGGGUUGAAGCAUUUCCAACUGUUAAUGCCACUGCUCAAACAAUAAGUAAGGUAAUCCUAGAAUAGAUAGUCCCAAGAUAUGGAAUUAUAAAUAACAUUGAUUCAGACCAAGGUACCCAUUUUACAUCAUUAGUAUUGCAACAAUUGGCUCAAUAAUUUGGAAUAACUUGGAAAUUACAUACCCCUGGCACCCUCAAAGUUCGGGAAGGGUAGAACGCAUGAAUCAGACUAUUAGAACAACCCGGACCAAACUGAUGUUAGAAAUGAAGUGGACUUGGAUAAAGUGCCUACCCCUUGCCCUUCUCAGAAUCCAGAGCUAACCCAGAGCUGACUAAGGCUGUUCCCCAUGUGAAAUGUUAUAUAGGCUUCCCUAUUUAGCCACCCCACAUCAAGUAACUGCCAAAGAGUGAGGAAAUAGAAAUAUGCAAAGGUAUAUUCAAAUGAUUGCCCAGAAUCUAAAAGACUUAAAGCAGAGAGGUCGUGUACCCCAGAACAUUCCUUUAGACUUCUAUUUACAUAAGAUAUGCCCCGGAGAGUAGGUACUUAUUAAAUGCUGGAAGGAACAAUCCCUGACUCCAUCAGGGGAAGGUCCUUUCCAAGUUCAACUGACCACAGAGACAGCCAUCUGAGCACAGGAAAAAGGGUGCACUUCCGUCAGCCGAGUAAAAGGUCCAGUAACACCACCACAAGAUAACGAGAAACCUCCAUGAACUACUCUCUACAACAGUCCUCCCCGUGUUAUCCCUGAAAUUAUUAUAUCAAUUGUUAUUCUCUCACUGUUUUACAGCAGAGAAUCUAAUGGUUAUUGUACUUACUAUUUAACAAGUUAUUACGAAUUUUCAAUUCCAUUUCUCCACCAGUGAAGAGUAUAAUUUCCCUGAGAAAUUACUUUCCAAUAACUAUAUCUUUUUUUUUUUUUUUUUUUUUUUUAAUUUCCUUGGGAGAAACAACAUGAAUAGAACCAAGGCCAGUUCCAGGUAGGACUUUCCUGCAUCCAGGUACACUCCCAUGACAACCAAGGGGUCUGAACCCAGUCGAAAAACCAGAGAGCUUGAAAGGUCUGCACCACCUAUCAGAGAGUACCACAGCACUUCAAUCUUCCCAUUGACCCCUAGGGAAUGGAAGGUUGAACUGGUAACUUGAUGCCACAGCAAUGGUGCAUACUAAUGAGAGAGCUUCCCAUCAAAAACCUCAGAGAUAUCAUCCCACCCCAGUGACAGCACACUCUGGGAAAGAAGAUCUUACCCCAUCAUCUACUAGCACCAAUCACCUGAGACUAUGGGGGCGGAACUGCAAGUACAGACUGAGGGGAUCGAGAACAUCAAAGGGGCAGCCUGGCCUGAAGAGCUGUCUUUGCUGUCUUUUACUGUUCCUGGGACUGUGACUUAGCUACAGCAGGGGACCCCACACUGCAGAUUUUGGUCAAUAUCUCUUUUUAGAGACCUUUUUCCAGAUUUGAGGGCAGACUAAGUGCAUUCACUGCAAUGCCCUCGGGUUCUUGCCUUGGGGCCAAACGCCAGUUCAGCUAGAGAUUUCCUCAAUCCUUGGGCUUGGGACUUUAUCCUUUUUUCUUUCUUUCCUUUCUUCUUUUUCCUUACCUCCCUUUUUGUUUUUCCUCUUUAAAUAAACACCCUAUUUUUGUUCAAA